Molecule: small nuclear RNA, 105 nt
Organism: Callithrix jacchus (white-tufted-ear marmoset)
Lineage: Eukaryota; Metazoa; Chordata; Mammalia; Primates; Cebidae
Source: Ensembl
AUCCUAUUUUUCAGCACACACACUAAAACUGGAAUGAUACAGAGAAGAUUAGCAGGGCCCCUGCACAAGGAUGACAUGCAAAUUCAUGAAGCGUUCCGUAUUUUU